RNAcentral lists this ribosomal RNA (408 nucleotides) under uncultured bacterium. RNAcentral's name for it is "partial 16S ribosomal RNA". It matches the Rfam family "Bacterial small subunit ribosomal RNA", at positions 28 to 526 of the family's 1533-position model. The record is from RNAcentral.
GACGAACGCUGGCGGCGUGCUUAACACAUGAAAGUCGAACGGAGUGGCGAACGGGUGAGUAACACGUGGGUGACCUGACCUGCACUUCGGGAUAAGCCUGGGAAACUGUGUCUAAGACCGGAAAGUGUGGGAUGGGCCCGCCACCUAUCAGCUUGUAGGUGGGGUAAUGGCCUACCAAGGCGGCGACGGGGAGCCGGCCUGAGAGGGGGGACGGACACAUUGGGACUGUGACACCGCCCAGACUCCGACGGUAGGCUGCAGUGGGGACUAUUGCACGAUGGGCGGAAGCCUGAUGCAGCGUCGCCGCGUGGGGGAUGGCGGCCUUCGGGUUGUAAACUCCUUUCACCAUCGACGCGGUAGAUGGAGAAGAAGCACCGGCUAACUACGUGCCAGCAGCCGCGGUAAUAC